GUUAUUUUUGGUGAUGGUCAGUCUGGUCAACCACAAGGGAGACACAGAGGAGGCAAAGGAAAAAACAAGUUUCUUAUACUCAAGGUCCUAGAGGGACAGAGUCACUGCAUGCUGACAGGGAGUGAUGUGGAAAAGAGCACCAAGGAAAAAGGCUCAGCCAAGCAAGUGGGGAGCAGAGAGCGGGCAAACACCAGAAGCCAUAGGUUAAGACAUGAGGACUUCUACUGAAACUUCUCUAAAUAUGGAACCAAGACUUCAUCUGAGUUUGAGAUUAAGAGAAGAAAUUAUCACAGCUCCAUGAGGAAGAAAAAAUAAUCUGUGACUUCUGUACCUUCUUCAUGACCACCGGGCAAGACUGACUCUCUGACCAGUGCACAGGAGACUCAUCAAUAUCUAUCUAAGCCCUUUCUCUCUAACAGCUGCCAGAGUUUGGUCUUCUAUCAUCUCAGGCCAAGGAAGCGCAGUGGUUACACUCAUCUCCACUCCGGUCACCUGCUUUCCAUUUUAUGCGAGCAGGUCCUGCCUUACAAAAUAAACGUAUCUGCUGAGAAAUGCCAAUGAGGGAGACAGAAGAGAUCUUCAAAGGGAAAGGCAGAUUUUGUAAGUGGUUGUUGAUGGACCAAAUUCCAUGUUAUAAAUCUUCUCAGGGUGCAGUAGUUGAUAUAACUCCAUUGAGAUGGACCCUGAAAACAAAUAUGCACAAAAGGAAUUUUACAGAUAAAUCCGUGUUCCAUGCCUAGAAUAAAGUAAUACCAUUAUAAUCAUUAUCUGCUUUCAAUAUCCAACCCUGCCAUUUAGUUUCAGCUUCAGGUCCACCGGAUCCUUCAAAUAUUUCUUCAUACAAUCUCCUUUUGUCCCUCAGGACCUGUUGGAAAGAAAGGCGUCCAAUGCUAAUAAGGAAAAGAGAAGAGCCUUCCUCUCCAUGCAGGUUUAAGUCUACUGAAAGUGGAAAUUACUCUUUUAUUUAUAAAUACUGAUAGGACUCUUUUGGUAGCAGGGAACAUGGACCCACUUAUG
This 1017-nucleotide long non-coding RNA is filed under the name Homo sapiens (human). RNAcentral's name for it is "HSALNT0296037". The record is from RNAcentral. Lineage: Eukaryota; Metazoa; Chordata; Mammalia; Primates; Hominidae.